CCCUAUCGUCCCUCGCGUGUCGCUGCCUCUACGCCUCCUCCGGUCGCGCCGCCCGCCGCCUCUCCCUUCUCCUCCCGUCACGCCGCCCUGCGCCGUGCGAGGUGGCUAGGGCGCCGCCGUCCUUCACGCCAGCGCUGGACCGGCCUCCCUUCUCCCCACUCUCCCGUGAUACUCAUCUCCCUCAAUCCCCUUCCAAACUGCUCCUCCCCAAUCCCCUGCAUCCACUCCAUCUCCAGCAAGCCGCCAUCGGCCGCGUCCUCUUGCUCGCGCAGCUCUAGCCCUCCUCGCGCGUGCCUCCCUGAUGAUGAAGACAACCACAACCUCCCGCGCUGCUCCCCGAGCAGCGAGCUCGUCAUGGCAGCGAGCGGUCAGCCGGCGGCCGAGAAGGACGAGAGCUGGGAAGGUUGAACGCUGCCGUUGGGAGCGGGCGGUUCAUCAGGAGUGAAGAUGAUGGUGGCAGUGGAGGAAAAGAAAUGGCAGGGGUGGCAGCUACAAGGUAGAGGUUGUUUCUAAGUUGCUCGUCAUGGUGUUAGUUUUCCCAUAAUUCUAUCAUGUCUAUCUACUAUUUCUAAUUGCAGGGAUUAUGGUUAGUGAGCCUUUGAUGACAAGGCAAACUUAUUAUCCUUUUCUCUUCUGGUUGUUCCUUUUCUAUAGCGUUCUGCGUUUAUAUAGAUACUCUGCCAUUUGGGAUUGAGUAGGAAGAAGAUAAAUCUGGAAGCCAUUUUGCCACUGAAAGAUUAGAUAAACCAUGUAUAUUUGGUGAGGUGCUCAAAUCAAUUACUGAAAUUUUAUUUGCUAAAUUUUACAUGCUGCGAUAUUGGUCUGUGACAACUCUUAAUUAUCGUGAGGGUGAUGACGCAGGAUAAUCCUCCUGAUUCAUAGGGUCGCAGCCAUCGACAGAGAUCAAGGUUCCCAGGAGACUUUGGCCGAGAAGCAGGCAUCGGGAGGGGUCGAGCUAUUAUUGAGAGGAAAGAGUGGUAGAUUGUGUUGAUUUUGCUAGCAUUAGCCAUCGAUAGAUAUCAAGGUUCCCAUGAGACUUCGUCCGAGAGGCAGCAGCGGGAGGGUCGAGCUAUUGUUCAGAUGAAAGAGUGGUAAUUUUAUGUCAGAUCUUAAAGUUGGCAGUAGACUGGUUAGCUCCACCUCUUUUAUUUUUAUUUAUGCUUGUGUUCAUUUUGUUGGUAUUAGGCUAGCUAGCUACUCUGUUUCUGUACCUAUAUAGGUAGAUUUGAUUCGUAGUACCAUCAUUUGCAUCUUAUAUUGAGUGCUAAAUCUCAAUUCUGGUUGUGUGUUCUUCGUUAAGAACA
This is a non-coding RNA of Lolium perenne, 1304 nucleotides long. The record is from RefSeq and is a predicted model, not a curated record. Lineage: Eukaryota; Viridiplantae; Streptophyta; Magnoliopsida; Poales; Poaceae.